This 424-nucleotide ribosomal RNA is filed under the name uncultured bacterium. RNAcentral describes it as "partial 16S ribosomal RNA". It matches the Rfam family "Bacterial small subunit ribosomal RNA", at positions 354 to 796 of the family's 1533-position model. The record is from RNAcentral.
GUGGGGAAUAUUGCACAAUGGGCGAAAGCCUGAUGCAGCAACGCCGCGUGAAGGAAGAAGGCCCUUGGGUCGUAAACUUCUGUUCUAAGGGAAGAUAAUGACGGUACCUUAGGAGCAAGUCCCGGCUAACUACGUGCCAGCAGCCGCGGUAAUACGUAGGGGGCGAGCGUUAUCCGGAAUUAUUGGGCGUAAAGAGUACGUAGGUGGUUAUCUAAGCGAGGGGUUUAAGGCAAUAGCUCAAAUAUUGUUUGCCCCGCGAACUGGGUGACUUGAGUGCUGGAGAGGAAAGCGGAAUUCCUAGUGUAGCGGUGAAAUGCGUAGAUAUUAGUAGGAACAUCAGUGGCGAAGGCGGCUUUCUGGACAGUAACUGACACUGAGGUACGAAAGUGUGGGGAGCAAACAGGAUUAGAAACCCGGGUAGUCC